Molecule: long non-coding RNA, 3106 nt
Organism: Cygnus olor (mute swan)
Lineage: Eukaryota; Metazoa; Chordata; Aves; Anseriformes; Anatidae
Exons: 7
Source: RefSeq, a predicted model, not a curated record
GCCUGGUGUUUAGUCUGGGAAAGUUGUUUGCUUGCUGUUUUUGCAGCUGUGGGUGUUGGGCAGAAAAGGCUUAAAUGGCGCGGAUUCCUGCUUCUGCAGGCUGGAGGGAGGGACAGUGUGUCCUCAGUGCGGAGGCUGGCGGCAGGACGGGACAUGAGACGGCUCUGGGGAGCGCUGCCUGGGAGAGACGCCUGGAGGCUGGCAGAUGGAGCUGAAGGAGGACCCAGAGAACUGGGUCUGGAUCCAGCUUUUCUGAGCCUUGAGGCUAAACCAAGGUUUGGGCAAGAGGACACAGCUUCUGGAUGGCGGUAAGGGGCAGGAACCUCCCCAAAACUGCAAUUUUUUGAGAUAAGAAGCCAAUGAGGAGGUCUGAUCCUACUUAUUGGAGUCAAGGGGCCUGGCAUGUUUUUGAUGUUACAUCAUGCCCAGGGCAAGACCUUACUCCAGUCUUGGAAAGCACGAGCAGUGAUGUAACUUGUCUCCACGGACUCUGAUCCCAGCAGAAUUCAGAGCACUUCAGUUUCAUUGCCUGGGUCAUCUCCAUGUGUCAUCUACAAUAUUCUCACCCAGGCGUGGCUCCGCUGAGGUUGCACUCAGCGGUAGGGUUGGCUGGUCCCUCUGCUAUUCCUGCUCUUUGGCACAGUCCCGAACCUCCCUUCCUCUCUCUUCCACGCUCAGGAAUUCAUGCAAUAUUGACCGCCUUCCCGGAGCCGGUUCCCGUUGCCAGUUCCGUGGCUGAGGUCUACAGCUCGAAAAGAGGUGGGUCCUCUGGGCCAAGGAUUGCAUCGCAAGCCGUUGAGUCCUGGGGCUUAAGGAGACACAGAUAAGCAGCGUGCUUAUCAGGAGCCUGCCGCUGGGGUACCUGCUCCAGCCCCAUCGUGAGCGAACAUGUUUUACCACCCAGCUGCAGGGAGCUGGGAGCAUGCGCGCGGCCGGGCAACACGGCUCAGCUGGUGCGUGGUAACUCGUGAAGCCGCAGCAACUUUAUCACUUCGCAACAUCCAUACAUAGCCACAGCCUUGAGUCUUCUCAGGGGAAGAAAGGAUGAUGAGUUACUGUCCUGGGAUUUUUGCUCUGUCUCCAGUCAGUGGGAAGUGGUAUGCGGAGCAUUCAUUUAAUAAACCAGAGGGGAAAAGCUGUAGAUCAGCUUCUCAUUAUUUCAGUGCUGGCUCACGCCAUCGCUUGGGUUUGUGCCUGACAGUUCAGUGUGUUAUUUGAGGCCACUCGAGCAUUCUGCAGAAAUGAUGCCACCCUCUUCUGAAAGUGUGGGGUUCGUCCAAGCAGGGAGGGCCUGCCUCCCUUGGUAGUUUUAUUGGUGCCAAUUCCAUCUCAAUUUUAGGUCUCAGUGUGCAAAGGAGGUGCCCACUUUGGAGAUCAGUUCAUGUCGAGAGCCACUGCUCCAGCAGGAAACCUUCUGGAGAUGGUUCUUCUGGUCUAGACCUCUGGAGUAAGGCAACUCUAGGUCCAGAGCAUGCUUUUGAGCUGGGAGCCCUACCUGGAGCUGAGGUGGGGAUACAGCACCCCAUGCUGACCUACUGUCCUGCUGGAGCAGAGCUUGUGACCAUGCUGUGAGCUAGAAGAGCCAGGCAAAUCCUGGGGGCACGCCAGAAGAUGCCAUGGGAUGCCUUUCUACCUAGUCAAGCAGAUCAAGCAGCCGGCACUCGAGACACUGACGGGCACUACCAAAAUGCCGAGCACCCAGAGCCGGCCGCACACGGACGUGACCACACCAUGGGCAGAGCACAGGCAAGGCUCGCGCUCGGCAGGAUUUCCUCUUCUUGCUAUCUCCUUGCUGUGUCUUGCAAGACUGCAAGGAAAUGCGUCGCCAAUAAUCAGCUGUCUCCAACCAGUUCAGCAUUGCUGGGGCGUUUGUGCUGGCUGCGGGUGGAAGGACUGAUCUUGGAAGGAAACUCCGUGUGAAAUCCCCAGCCUGCUCUGCAGAUGCACGUGCUGGGCCAUUUCUGGACAAGCUUUCAGCUGCUACAGCAGGGGAGCUGGAAGAAGUGGGGAGAGCCCUGAAAUCUUCCCUGAGCUGUCUCAGAAGGACUGGACUAGCCUGAAAGCCACCAGAGCCACAGCCCAGCAGCACAGUUUGGGACACAGGCAUCCCACACUCAGAAUCCAGCAGUGCUGGGGAGUGGAUCCAGUGUCACCAGGAAAGCUGUGACCUCAACAAGCCACGCAGGCUCCUUCCUGUGCAGUAAGUAAUGCCCGUAAGAAAGAGAAGUUUUCCGAGGGUCCUAAGAGGUUGGAGCAAAGUCCUGAGCUGCUGCCGCAUGUAUGGGAACAGCAGUGAGGUCCCUGAGUGUGCUCCCAAACCCCAGUGUCCCCGCACUGAGCGGGUCCCUAUGGGAACACAGUGUUUUUCCCAGUCCCACCAGCAGCACAGUGGGACCCAAGCAGCUCUCCCUCCCAGGGCUGCACGUCCUUGCCGGGGCGAGGAGCAGCACAGAAGAAGUGAGUGCUGCCAUGGCACACCAAGCUGUGGCUGAAGGAGUAUUCGGAUACCCUGGGCUGCCAAUUCAGAACUUUCCUAAAACCAGCAGUAAAAUUCGCCUCCGAUUCCUUUUUAGGAAAAGAAGGCUGUAGUAUAAAGUCCCAUUUUCUAGGCAUUAAAAGUUUACAGUCUGCACCAUUAAAAGCAGCAUUCUGUGUCAAACUUUAAUGUUUGGUCUUCAGGAACAGCUAGGAGGAAAAGAGAAGGUUCCCUGUUUGUUCUACAAAACAGGAAAGUGCUUGCUUUCUAUACUGUAAAUAUGCAUUAGGGAAGCUCUUAUAGGCUCGUGCUGGGGAUUUGAUGUUUUUAACUGACUACAUUCCUUACAUUUUUGUAUAACUGCCAAGAAAGCUAAAUAAAAUGGCUUUUUUAGUGUUUUCUCUAAGAAUAGCCCUGCUUCUUUGUAAAUAUAGCAAAGGAAUUGUUGAUAAUAAUUCUUUGGGAGAAUAACUGGUGUUAUUGAUGUUACAAGUAGAAAGAUUGCUGUUUCUCUGUCUCAGAAACACAGCUAACCAAGCGGGCUGGGACUUCAGAAAGCCUGAGCAUUCCUUAGCCAGUUACUGAGAUUAGACUGGUUUCAUUCCUGUGCCAGAAGGUGUAGAAAUCAGA